Leptonychotes weddellii (Weddell seal) is the source of this 1078-nucleotide long non-coding RNA. RefSeq lists it as uncharacterized. NCBI's taxonomy places the organism in Eukaryota, Metazoa, Chordata, Mammalia, Carnivora, Phocidae. The record is from RefSeq and is a predicted model, not a curated record.
CUUUGAAGAAUAUGCAGAAUGUGAAAGUACCACACUUCUGAAGGCAACGAUGUUUGGUUCCUUGCCCAAGGAUAGAAGCAGAUAUCAAGGGAGCCUGGGAGUGUUUGUGACCCCUCCAGCCAGCACUAAUGGUAAUGAGGUUAUGUACCAAAUGGAGAUGUAUGGAAAGCUAAAAGAGGACAUGCUAAGGAAGAGGACUCAAAAAAUGAUAAAGUGAUGUUUUGUACUCACUACAAGUCAACAAAGUAUGAAUUACACCGACAGGUAUGGUCAAAUAUUUGAUUUAAACUUCACGUAAUACAGGUAACCCAGUAAUGGGGAAAUGCUGCAAAAACAACUUGCAGGAAGAUCUCUACUUCUCUUCAGGAGAUACUUGAAUACUUCCCAUUUCAAAAUUGAAGAUGACUUAGAUGCUACUUGCCAUACAGAAGAAAUUGAGGCUGUGAAAAUGUUAUCAGCUCCAUUUAUGAUUAAGUGACUGAGAAUAAAACCAGUGAACGGUAUAUAAAAGAACUUUGGUUUAAAGGUGACGACGUGGACAUUAUCAACUCACAUGAAGCACAAUGAGAUUCACAAAUGACUAGAAAAUUCCAUAACCCUCCAAACCAAUCCUUGUAAUCAUAGGACACCUAGGGGAGCAGGACAGUCAACAGGUACAUCCACAACUUUGGUGAAGUCUGUUGGCAGGGACUCUGACUUUCUUGAAAAAGUAGGAUGCUUUGAGGGCCUGUGAUUGGUUUUUCAAGUCAAGUGAUUAUAAGAAAAUAUUGUUUAUAACUAUGGAUGGGAUGAAAUCUUUAAUCUAACUUAAGAGCAAUCACCAAAAUCCUCUCCAUACCUACUGGAUGACCUACAUGACUUUAUACAGCUCUCAAUAGGCACUCAUUGACAUGUGAAUUUGAUAUUCUCAUGGAGGCAAAAAUAAUCUGAGAGUAAGGUGAGAGUACUCAGAUUGCAUUGAAAGGUAUAAUAAUGCGGAAAUUCUGUAGGAUGUUUUCUUAAAGCUAAUUUUGACCAGGGACGAAAAUGUUUAGAGUGUUGGUAAUCUAGUAUAGCUUAUAGCCCUUAAUAAAAGGAU